This 215-nucleotide long non-coding RNA is filed under the name Mytilus galloprovincialis (Mediterranean mussel). Lineage: Eukaryota; Metazoa; Mollusca; Bivalvia; Mytilida; Mytilidae. The record is from RNAcentral.
UAUCAAAACACCAAUGGCAGGUUUAGUGUUACAUUCUAUACAAUUAUUUGUAAAAUAUGAACGAUUUAAGAUAAUAUCUGAAUGAAUUAUCAAAAGAGUGCUACACAAGUGGAAAACUGCAAUAAUACAUUUAGAAAAUCUACUUCAUGAGGGUGUGGAUGGAGGUACACUAAACAAAGAGAGAGGGGCAAAAUUUUUAAUAACAGUUAAAAUGA